UACGGAGGAUGCGAGCGUUAUCCGGAUUUAUUGGGUUUAAAGGGUGCGUAGGCGGGUUAUCAAGUCAGCGGUAAAAUCGUGGAGCUCAACUCCAUCCAGCCGUUGAAACUGAUGAUCUUGAGUGGGCGAGGAGUAUGCGGAAUGCGUGGUGUAGCGGUGAAAUGCAUAGAUAUCACGCAGAACUCCGAUUGCGAAGGCAGCAUACCGGCGCCCGACUGACGCUGAAGCACGAAAGCGUGGGGAGCAAACAGG
Molecule: ribosomal RNA, 252 nt
Filed under: uncultured bacterium
Lineage: Bacteria
Description: partial 16S ribosomal RNA
Rfam family: Bacterial small subunit ribosomal RNA
Source: RNAcentral